This 201-nucleotide long non-coding RNA is filed under the name Elaeis guineensis (African oil palm). RNAcentral describes it as "long non-coding RNA (EGUI_LNC057120)". The record is from RNAcentral. Lineage: Eukaryota; Viridiplantae; Streptophyta; Magnoliopsida; Arecales; Arecaceae.
UCCAGACUUCAUCAAUAUCUGAGCUCCUUCAAUAACGAGGUCUCUACAGUAAUCAGACUCCAUCCAAGUUUCUACGGUGGUCGACUGCCUUCAGGAUUUCGACCGAGCUCCUGCGAGAAGCAUUCUACUACGAGCGAUCUACCUCGAGCUUCUACUACGAGCAGUUCCAGCCGAGCUCCUGUGAGAGCCAAACUUCUACUA